Molecule: long non-coding RNA, 404 nt
Filed under: Olea europaea (common olive)
Lineage: Eukaryota; Viridiplantae; Streptophyta; Magnoliopsida; Lamiales; Oleaceae
Description: long non-coding RNA (OEUR_LNC012159)
Source: RNAcentral
CCUAAUCGAUCUUAUUUUCAUAUUUCAUCCGGUGGAGUCAGCCAUUCAUUGCAGUCCAAACCCUUAUCCCUUUUUGCAAAAACCCUUUUCUUCCCCUUCUCUGCCUAAUCGACCUCCUUCACGAUUUUCUCAAAAUUGGAAUAUGCACCUGCAUCGGUUGGUUUUGCGGCUGGAGAAUCUUGGAGUAAACUUUAAUUAUUGCAGAUGCGUUUUUGGUAUCUGAGCGAAGGGAUUGGAAUCAAUCAAUGGGCAUGAACGUGAUUAAUUGUUUUACUCAAGGUACUAGCUUAUUUCUUCUGAUUAGUUAUGGAAAAGAACAAUAUUUCAUUUUUCUGUUAGACCUUGUUGCUUCAUUAUUAUUCCAAUGUAUAGCAGAUUUAAGAACGGUGAAACAAAGUUUCCGG